AACGAACGCUGGCGGCGUGCCUAAUACAUGCAAGUCGUACGAGAAAGCCCUUCGGGGUGAGUAGAGUGGCGCACGGGAGAGUAAUGCAUGGGAACGUACCUUUAGGAGGGGGAUAACCACGGGAAACUGUGGCUAAUACCGCAUGUGGUAGCAAUACUAAAGAUGGCCUCUACUUGUAAGCUAUCGCCUAGAGAUCGGCCCAUGUCCCAUUAGCUAGAUGGUGAGGUAAUGGCUCACCAUGGCUACGAUGGGUAGCUGGUCUGAGAGGAUGAUCAGCCUCACUGGGACUGAGACACGGCCCAGACUCCUACGGGAGGCAGCAGUAGGGAAUCUUGCACAAUGGACGAAAGUCUGAUGCAGCAACGCCGCGUGUGUGAAGAAGGCUCUUGGGUCGUAAAGCACUUUCGACAGGGAAGAAGGGUACUAAUUCGAACAGGAUUAGUAUUUGACGGUACCUGCAGAAGAAGCACCGGCUAACUCCG
This 482-nucleotide ribosomal RNA is filed under the name uncultured delta proteobacterium. RNAcentral describes it as "bacterial SSU rRNA". It matches the Rfam family "Bacterial small subunit ribosomal RNA", at positions 29 to 505 of the family's 1533-position model. The record is from RNAcentral. Lineage: Bacteria; Deltaproteobacteria.